This 270-nucleotide ribosomal RNA is filed under the name uncultured archaeon. Its description in RNAcentral is "partial 16S ribosomal RNA". It matches the Rfam family "Archaeal small subunit ribosomal RNA", at positions 477 to 747 of the family's 1478-position model. The record is from RNAcentral.
CAGCACCUCAAGUGGUCAGGAUGAUUAUUGGGCCUAAAGCAUCCGUAGCCGGCGCCGUAAGUUUUCGGCUAAAUCUGUACGCUCAACGUACAGGCUGCCGGGAAUACUGCAGCGCUAGGGAGUGGGAGAGGUAGACGGUACUCGGUAGGAAGGGGUAAAAUCCUUUGAUCUAUUGAUGACCACCUGUGGCGAAGGCGGUCUACCAGAACACGUCCGACGGUGAGGGAUGAAAGCUGGGGGAGCAAACCGGAUUAGAUACCCGAGUAGUCC